Molecule: long non-coding RNA, 460 nt
Organism: Heterocephalus glaber (naked mole-rat)
Lineage: Eukaryota; Metazoa; Chordata; Mammalia; Rodentia; Bathyergidae
Source: RefSeq, a predicted model, not a curated record
CUUCUCUACUGUGCUGGUGAGAGGGACAGAAGUCAACACGGACCGAGGCAGGCAGUGCACAUUCAGUAAUCAUCUGGCUCAUUGGUACAUGUCAGCCUGUACCUCUGACGGGCCAGACCUGGGCUCUGAGGACACCAAGACACAAAAGACUUGGCCUUAGCUACCUGGAGCACUCAACUGUCAUGCCAGACAUGGCUAAAGAGGUGAUGGCAGUGCUGGCCUCGGGGGUUUCAAGAGGACGGAAUGAAGGAUCCCUGCUGUGUGCUGAACAUAGUGCCUAGUCAUUAUCAGCCCUUGUCACAGCUUCCCUGGCACACUGAAGGACAGGCUUACAGGACACAAACUACAGCUCAAGGGGACUGUGUUGUCUUCACAGUGCUUUUUCCUUUGGGAAGUUAAGUUUGCUCAAUGAUGGAAAAUUUUAAAUAAAGAAUAGAAAAAAAUAAAAUUUCUUAUUGAA